Molecule: ribosomal RNA, 509 nt
Filed under: uncultured Flavobacterium sp.
Lineage: Bacteria; Pseudomonadati; Bacteroidota; Flavobacteriia; Flavobacteriales; Flavobacteriaceae
Description: bacterial SSU rRNA
Rfam family: Bacterial small subunit ribosomal RNA
Source: RNAcentral
GAGUUUGAUCGUGGCUCAGGAUGAACGCUAGCGGCAGGCUUAACACAUGCAAGUCGAGGGGUAAGUCAUUUCGGUGACUGAGACCGGCGCACGGGUGCGUAACGCGUAUGCAAUCUGCCUUUUACAGAGGGAUAGCCCAGAGAAAUUUGGAUUAAUACCUCAUAGUAUUAUGAAUCGGCAUCGAUUUAUAAUUAAAGUUCCAACGGUAAAAGAUGAGCAUGCGUCCCAUUAGCUAGAUGGUAAGGUAACGGCUUACCAUGGCGACGAUGGGUAGGGGUCCUGAGAGGGAGAUCCCCCACACUGGUACUGAGACACGGACCAGACUCCUACGGGAGGCAGCAGUGAGGAAUAUUGGUCAAUGGGCGCAAGCCUGAACCAGCCAUGCCGCGUGCAGGAUGACGGUCCUAUGGAUUGUAAACUGCUUUUGUACAGGAAGAAACACUCCUACGUGUAGGAACUUGACGGUACUGUAAGAAUAAGGAUCGGCUAACUCCGUGCCAGCCGCCGCA